Molecule: unclassified non-coding RNA, 22 nt
Filed under: Mus musculus (house mouse)
Lineage: Eukaryota; Metazoa; Chordata; Mammalia; Rodentia; Muridae
Description: oocyte_clustered_small_RNA10009
Source: RNAcentral
AUGAUGAUGUGAAGACAGAAGC